GUACAGGAUAGGUAGGAGCCUGAGAAGCCGGAGCGCUAGCUUCGGUGGAGGCGUCGGUGGGAUACUACCCUGGCUGUAUUGAAAUUCUAACCCGCGGCCCUUAUCGGGCCGGGAGACAGUGUCAGGUGGGCAGUUUGACUGGGGCGGUCGCCUCCUAAAAUGUAACGGAGGCGCCCAAAGGUUCCCUCAGAAUGGUUGGAAAUCAUUCGUAGAGUGUAAAGGCACAAGGGAGCUUGACUGCGAGACCUACAAGUCGAGCAGGGACGAAAGUCGGGCUUAGUGAUCCGGUGGUUCCGCAUGGAAGGGCCAUCGCUCAACGGAUAAAAGCUACCCCGGGGAUAACAGGCUUAUCUCCCCCAAGAGUCCACAUCGACGGGGAGGUUUGGCACCUCGAUGUCGGCUCAUCGCAUCCUGGGGCUGUAGUCGGUCCCAAGGGUUGGGCUGUUCGCCCAUUAAAGCGGUACGCGAGCUGGGUUCAGAACGUCGUGAGACAGUUCGGUCCCUAUCCGUCGUGGGCGUAGGAAAUUUGAGAGGAGCUGUCCUUAGUACGAGAGGACCGGGAUGGACACACCGCUGGUGUACCAGUUGUCUUGCCAAAGGCAUCGCUGGGUAGCUAUGUGUGGACGGGAUAAGUGCUGAAAGCAUCUAAGCAUGAAGCCCCCCUCAAGAUGAGAUUUCCCAUAGCGCAAGCUAGUAAGAUCCCUGAAAGAUGAUCAGGUUGAUAGGUCAGAGGUGGAAGCGUGGCGACAUGUGUAGCUGACUGAUACUAAUCGAUCGAGGACUUAACCAAA
Molecule: ribosomal RNA, 791 nt
Filed under: Priestia megaterium
Lineage: Bacteria; Bacillati; Bacillota; Bacilli; Caryophanales; Bacillaceae
Description: bacterial LSU rRNA
Rfam family: Bacterial large subunit ribosomal RNA
Source: RNAcentral